RNAcentral lists this ribosomal RNA (505 nucleotides) under uncultured bacterium. RNAcentral's name for it is "partial 16S ribosomal RNA". It matches the Rfam family "Bacterial small subunit ribosomal RNA", at positions 28 to 507 of the family's 1533-position model. The record is from RNAcentral.
GACGAACGCUGGCGGCGUGCCUAAUACAUGCAAGUAGAACGCACAGUUUAUACCGUAGCUUGCUACACCAUAGACUGUGAGUUGCGAACGGGUGAGUAACGCUUAGCUAACCUGCCUGGUAGCGGGGGAUAACUAUUGGAAACGAUAGCUAAUACCGCAUAAUAUUGAUUAUUGCAUGGUAAUUGAUUGAAAGAUGCUAUUGCAUCACUACCAGAUGGACCUGCGUUGUAUUAGCUAGUAGGUGAGGUAACGGCGCACCUAGGCGACGAUACAUAGCCGAACUGAGAGGGUGGUCGGCCGCACUGGGACUGAGACACGGCCCAGACUCAUACGGGAGGCAGCAGUACGGAAUCUUCAGCAAUGGACGAAAGUCUGACCGAGAAACGCCGAGGGAGUAAGGAAGGUUGUCGGAUCGGAAAGCUCUGUUGUAAGAGAAGAACGGGUGUGAGAGUGGAAAGUUCACACUGUGACGGUAUCUGACCAGAAAGGGACGGCUAACUACGUG